UAGCCUACGGUUUAAUUGGGGAAAUGGCGAAGCAAUUUAAAAGUUAAUGCUGAAGGUUGCGUUUAAAGAGAAAUGGAGGGAGGAUCACUUUUUUGUGGAAGUGAAAGGCAAGCCCGUUUGCUUAAUUUGUGUAGAAGCUCUUUCCGUUCUCAAAAAGAAGGAAUGGUGCGAGCGGAGAAAAUCAAGUAAUAAUUUCGCUGCACAACAAGCGUCUUUCCUGCGUCUUAAAAAAGGGCUGAACAGUGUCACUGAAGCAAGUUGCGCGAAUCCAUUUGCCGUGAUGUCCCAGAGUGUGCCGUCAGUCACUGGACGAGCUCAUUGGCGGCGACGGCGUAACUGCUUUUCUUCUCGCUGCAAAGACCCAUCUCCGGGCUGAUGUGUUCAAUUGAAGGCGACGGAACACUCAAUCCUGGUCCUGGAGAGCCACCCAGUCUGUUUCAACAACCGAUUCAGAAUCUAGAUCAGCUGAGUUAACUGUGUAAUGAACGGCUUUAACUGACCAACUGCUGUGCUUCUGAAGUGCUGAGUAACAACGAAAACCAGCAGACCCUGCAGCUCUCCGGGACGAGGACCAGUGGCUCAAAGACAAGCUUUUCCUGGCAUUUAAACUUCCAUCCAUGUUCACUAUCCUUCCUGACACUCCCACUAUUAGAUCAACCAAUAGUUUUUAUAAAUGUCUCAAUUAAAAACUCAGUUGUAUAAUUAUUCACUUGAUUGUGCCAUUGGAGUGCCUAUGGGGACCCCUGGAGGUUAAUCAUUGAAGUACAAGUUUAAAUCGCUGCAGGUCACAUGGUUGAGACAAACUGGUGUCUGUAUUCAUAAUAUGUUUACAUCCCACAUCAUAAGGACUACAGAGUAUAUUCAUGGGUUCAUAUAGUGCUCUGCAUAAAACAUUCAUUACAACCAUUUGUAUAUAUUAUAUCAAUCUGGGAUAGACCUGACCUGAGGUAUCACACCACAAUUUAGACAUAAAAUGGAUAAAACCGAUUUAUGCUUAAAGUGUAAAACUGAGGUUGGUAGUUAUAUUCAUUGUGUUUGGUCUUGUAUGCACAUCCCUGACUACUGGGGAAGAUUAUUUAGAAUAUUAAAUCUCAUCUUCAAUGCUCUGUUUAUUCCUGGGCAUGCCUAGUGUUCAAAUGAAGGGUGUUAAUGCUAAGAAGUUGCUGAGCAUUCUGUCAUUUGCAGCAUGAAAGAAUAUUCUGCUGAAAAGGAUAGAGGAUCAUCCUCCUGAUGUUUCUGGUUGCUAUUGGAUAAUAUUAAAUAUUAUACCCCUGGAAUAUUUAACUUGUAGGACUACUUGUAAAGUAAAUGUAUUCUAUGACAUAUGGGCACCCUUUCUUGAGCAUAUUGGUCCAAGAUUGUCAAGCACUGUUUUAAACAAAUGGUGGAUUGUAAUACCAA
Molecule: long non-coding RNA, 1401 nt
Organism: Anguilla anguilla (European eel)
Lineage: Eukaryota; Metazoa; Chordata; Actinopteri; Anguilliformes; Anguillidae
Exons: 3
Source: RefSeq, a predicted model, not a curated record